GGAGAGGUGGCCGAGUGGCCUAAGGCGCAUCACUGGAAAUGAUGUGUGCUCCAAAAGGGCACCGUGGGUUCAAAUCCCACCCUCUCCGCCA
RNAcentral lists this transfer RNA (91 nucleotides) under Verrucomicrobiota bacterium. Its description in RNAcentral is "Verrucomicrobia bacterium (freshwater metagenome) tRNA-Ser". It matches the Rfam family "tRNA". Rfam says of the family: Transfer RNA (tRNA) molecules are approximately 80 nucleotides in length. Their secondary structure includes four short double-helical elements and three loops (D, anti-codon, and T loops). Further hydrogen bonds mediate the characteristic L-shaped molecular structure. tRNAs have two regions of fundamental functional importance: the anti-codon, which is responsible for specific mRNA codon recognition, and the 3' end, to which the tRNAs corresponding amino acid is attached (by aminoacyl-tRNA synthetases). tRNAs cope with the degeneracy of the genetic code in two manners: having more than one tRNA (with a specific anti-codon) for a particular amino acid; and 'wobble' base-pairing, i.e. permitting non-standard base-pairing at the 3rd anti-codon position. The record is from RNAcentral. Lineage: Bacteria; Pseudomonadati; Verrucomicrobiota.